UACGAAGGGGGCUAGCGUUGUUCGGAAUUACUGGGCGUAAAGCGCGCGCAGGCGGCUAUCCAAGUCAGUGGUGAAAGCCCGGAGCUCAACUCCGGAACUGCCAUUGAAACUGUUUAGCUGGAGUAUGAGAGAGGUGAGUGGAAUUCCCAGUGUAGAGGUGAAAUUCGUAGAUAUUGGGAAGAACACCGGUGGCGAAGGCGGCUACCUGGCCCAAUACUGACACUCAGGUGCGACAGCGUGGGGAGCAAACAGG
RNAcentral lists this ribosomal RNA (253 nucleotides) under uncultured bacterium. Its description in RNAcentral is "partial 16S ribosomal RNA". It matches the Rfam family "Bacterial small subunit ribosomal RNA", at positions 524 to 776 of the family's 1533-position model. The record is from RNAcentral.